This 64-nucleotide transfer RNA is filed under the name Eurydema maracandica. RNAcentral's name for it is "tRNA-Leu". The record is from RNAcentral. Lineage: Eukaryota; Metazoa; Arthropoda; Insecta; Hemiptera; Pentatomidae.
CUAUUUUGGCAGAUUAGUGCAGUAAAUUUAGAAUUUAUUUAUGUAAUAAGUAUUACAAGUAGUA